Molecule: ribosomal RNA, 673 nt
Filed under: uncultured bacterium
Lineage: Bacteria
Description: partial 16S ribosomal RNA
Source: RNAcentral
GAUUACUAGCGAUUCCUACUUCAUGGACCCGAGUUGCAGACUCCAAUCUGGACUACGAUAGGCUUUUUGAGAUUCGCAUCACAUCGCUGUGUAGCUGCCCUCUGUACCUACCAUUGUAGCACGUGUGUAGCCCUGGUCGUAAGGGCCAUGAUGACUUGACGUCGUCCCCGCCUUCCUCCAGUUUGUCACUGGCAGUAUCCUUAGAGUCCCCGGCCAAACCGCUGGUAACUAAGGAAAAGGGUUGCGCUCGUUGCGGGACUUAACCCAACAUCUCACGACACGAGCUGACGACAGCCAUGCAGCACCUGUAUUCUAAUUCCCGAAGGCACUCCCGCAUCUCUGCAGGAUUCUAGAUAUGUCAAGACCAGGUAAGGUUCUUCGCGUUGCAUCGAAUUAAACCACAUGCUCCACCGCUUGUGCGGGCCCCCGUCAAUUCAUUUGAGUUUUAACCUUGCGGCCGUACUCCCCAGGCGGUCUACUUAUUGCGUUAGCUGCGUCACUAAGGAAUCAAGUUCCCCAACGACUAGUAGACAUCGUUUACGGCGUGGACUACCAGGGUAUCUAAUCCUGUUUGCUACCCACGCUUUCGAACCUCAGUGUCAGUAUGAUGCCAGGAGGCUGCCUUCGCCAUCGGUAUUCCUUCAGAUCUCUACGCAUUUCACCGCUACACCUG